ACUGAUACCCCUAUUCUGUUGGAAGUGUUCUAAUACCUAAGUGGUUUCCCACUAUUUGGGUGUGAUGAUGUUGGUUGGGGGUAUAUGUAUGGAUAGGUGGAUCGGAUGAUGUGUUCCUGUUAGAGAUAGAAUACAUCAUCGGAAUAUUUUUUUUGCCGGUGUGGGUGGGAUGAUAAUUUCAGCACUCCCUCAUUUGGCCAUCUACCACACAGUGGAUUAAAAAAAAGAGUGAUAGUGGUAAAAUUAAAUUCAAAUAUCCGAAAAAAGAAACAGUUGGACCAGCAAAGAAAGAAAAGAUAUUUAAGAAAGUGAAAUAAGUGGAAUGUUAAUUGGUGCCAACAAUUUUGGAAAAACAAAAGAACCCAGCAAACAACAAGUAAAGUUUGAUUCCCGGCGGCCCGAAUUAAAUUAUGGAGAGCGGGGCCGCCGCCCAAAAAAAAAAAAAAAAACAAAAUUUUUGAAAUUCAAUAAAAUUCAAAAACAGAAAAAAUUUGAAAUUAAAUAAAAUUCAAAAAAAAAAUUUAGAAUACAAAGUUGAAAUUAAAUAAAAUUUAAAAACUGAAAAAAAACGAAUGAAGGAGAAUUGGAAAUUAAAGGAAAUUUAAAUCAAAAAAACUUGAAAGAAAAGGAAAUUUAUACGGGAACCAAAUUGAGAAGAAAACAAAACAAUCAAUUUAUAAAUUUGGCCCACAACAUAGACGUACAUCUCCAUAUCAUAUAUUUCAAAGUACCUAACCGGUGGAUCUUUUUGUGUUUGUGAUUGUCCUAUAUUUAAGUUUUUUUUGAAAUUCAACAAAUUAAAUCGUUAAUUAAUUCAUCGGCGUGGAUGUUAUUUUUUUUUUUGUUUAAUUCCAUAACUUUUUUUGUAUCUUUUUUUAUUGUGAGGUGUGAAAAAAAAGGUUGGUGUUAUUUUCGUGUUCGGUCCCAUAAUUUUUUUGUUGUAUAGGGUCCUAAAAGAUACCUCCACAGAGCUCUUUAGGGGUAAGGAAUUAGGGCGCCGAUAAUUGUAUCCGCUUAACAAAAAAGAAAAUACCACAAAGGGUUCUUCUACGUAAAGGUAGAAACAAAUAAAGACUUAGGACUACCAACCUGACUUUUUUGUUACCAGUUCUUUUUCUUGUUUUUUUUUAUGUUAAUUUUUUUGUUAAUUUAUUUUAUUUAUAAAUCUGAUGAUUAAGCUGUCAAUUAAAUAAAAUUAAACUUCGGACAGAAACGCCGGAAAUAGCAAAAAAAAGUUUUUUUAUGUUUCGCCCAAGCGAAACGAUGAGAGCUUAAGUUCUUUUUUUCAGGGGUGUCGAGGGUAGCGGAGUGGGCAUGGACCUAAGAUGACCUGAAGCCGAUCAUCGACCACAAUUUUGGGGGUAUCCAACACUGGCCGCGGAUACCUAAAGGUAGGGUGGGUAAUGGCCUCACUGCACUAACAUCCGCAGUGCCCUGAUGUGCCAAUAGUCCGUCCGUUUAUGUUUCCUUCCUUUUCCUCAUUCCUUGGCCUGAUAUAUGUUUUUGUCUGCAGGCGAGGUUGAGUUUCGGGGGCAAGAUCCCCCCCCGUCCGACGAGCUGACGCCGUGCACCGCAAGCAGGCCGCGUCCCCCGGAUCUCAACAAUCCCACCUAACCUAUUCCAAAUCUUCCUAUCUCUUUUUCCUACCUCAUCCUUAUCCUACCCUUCCACUUCACCCACCUCCACACCUCCUCUUG
This is a long non-coding RNA of Eupeodes corollae, 1697 nucleotides long. RefSeq lists it as uncharacterized. The transcript has 3 exons. The record is from RefSeq and is a predicted model, not a curated record. NCBI's taxonomy places the organism in Eukaryota, Metazoa, Arthropoda, Insecta, Diptera, Syrphidae.